AUUGAACGCUGGCGGCAUGCCUUACACAUGCAAGUCGAACGGCAGCACGGGAGCUUGCUCCUGGUGGCGAGUGGCGAACGGGUGAGUAACACAUCGGAACGUACCCUGAAGUGGGGGGAUAACGUAGCGAAAGUUACGCUAAUACCGCAUAUUCUGUGAGCAGGAAAGAGGGGGAUCGCAAGACCUCUUGCUUUAGGAGCGGCCGAUGUCGGAUUAGCUAGUUGGUGAGGUAAAGGCUCACCAAGGCGACGAUCCGUAGCGGGUCUGAGAGGAUGAUCCGCCACACUGGGACUGAGACACGGCCCAGACUCCUACGGGAGGCAGCAGUGGGGAAUUUUGGACAAUGGGCGCAAGCCUGAUCCAGCCAUGCCGCGUGAGUGAAGAAGGCC
Molecule: ribosomal RNA, 389 nt
Filed under: uncultured bacterium
Lineage: Bacteria
Description: bacterial SSU rRNA
Rfam family: Bacterial small subunit ribosomal RNA
Source: RNAcentral